AACCGCAUGGUUAGAUUAUCAAAGGAGUAAUCCGCUAUGAGAUGGACCCGCGGCGCAUUAGCUAGUUGGUGAGGUAACGGCUCACCAAGGCCACGAUGCGUAGCCGACCUGAGAGGGUGAUCGGCCACAUUGGAACUGAGACACGGUCCAGACUCCUACGGGAGGCAGCAGUGGGGAAUAUUGCACAAUGGGCGAAAGCCUGAUGCAGCAACGCCGCGUGAGUGAUGAAGGCCUUCGGGUUGUAAAACUCUGUCUUUGGGGACGAUAAUGACGGUACCCAAGGAGGAAGCCACGGCUAACUACGUGCCAGCAGCCGCGGUAAUACGUAGGUGGCAAGCGUUGUCCGGAUUUACUGGGCGUAAAGGAUGCGUARGUGGAUAUUUAAGUCAGAUGUGAAAUACCCGAGCUCAACUUGGGUGCUGCAUUUGAAACUGGAUAUCUAAAGUGCAGGAGAAGUAAGUGGAAUUUCUAGUGUAGCGGUGAAAUGCGUAGAGAAUAGG
Molecule: ribosomal RNA, 500 nt
Filed under: uncultured bacterium
Lineage: Bacteria
Description: bacterial SSU rRNA
Rfam family: Bacterial small subunit ribosomal RNA
Source: RNAcentral